This 240-nucleotide long non-coding RNA is filed under the name Hordeum vulgare. RNAcentral describes it as "long non-coding RNA (HVUL_LNC016490)". The record is from RNAcentral. Lineage: Eukaryota; Viridiplantae; Streptophyta; Magnoliopsida; Poales; Poaceae.
UUUCUUAUUCUUGGCGAGGGUCUUUACUCUUUUGACGGGCGGCUUUGCAAUCCUACGUUUCCAGAAGGGUGCAUUUUUCUGUAACACGGGAAUUUAGUUCUACAAAAAGCAAAAGAAGAUACCAGAUAAAACAAAUAAGGGAUUUAUUUAUCUACCUCAGGAGCUGGAUUUGCAACGCAAAAUGGUUUCAGACCAAUUUUGGAACAAGCCUCUUCGGGUUCACUACAUAACUUCUUCAUG